UUUAUUCCUUUUCUUGCUUUUGUUCCCCAGCUGAGGAGUUCCACAUGGAUAUAGGAGGUGAUGUUCCCCUUGGGAGAGAAGAUCAAAGCGAGUCUGGGUCUACUUUCCACUGCAUUUGACGUAGUCUCUGCCCGCUUGCCUGAGACGAAAUGGUCCCAAAACUUUGGAAAAACACAGAAAGAAUGCAGAGAAAAAUCCAUAGCUACAUAAGCAUGGAAGCCAGUUGUUUCAGAGAAAGAUCCAAGGCUUGGCUAGAACGAGAGAAAUGCUUAUUGUUUGUCACUGGGAACCAGCCCCUAAACAAUCCAUUUUGAAAAACAACACUUAGUAAUGCAAAAAUAGCAAGUUACUCCUGACUGAUGAGAAAGAUGCGUCCAGAAAACAAGGAGCCUAUUAAAUGGGAUUUGAUAAAUACUUUUUUUAAAAGAAAAAAAAAUCCACCCAACAGGCAAGACAGGAGCAUGAGGUUCCCUGGGUCUAACGACUGGGUCUUGAUCAUUCCUAAAGCCUAGAGCCCAGCCCCGCACCUGUGCUUGGAGGGGAGUGCCACAAAUGUUUGUCGGAUUCCUGGAUCCUUUCAUCAACCCAUCCAAAGGGCAUCCAGUGGAUGCACCAAGGCGCUUAACCUGGCACACUGGGAAAUGAUAACACCACUGAGAGGAAAGGAGAAGCUAGGGAGAGACCUAGUCUUGGGACUAGAUUAUCAAUUAGAUUUGGUUGAUGUGUGGAGGGGACAGGAAAUAUCCAGUGGCCCGAGGACAGCAGGUGGCUGGAAAGACCUUGACCAAGGUUAUCUUUGAUGAUCAGCAGCAUCAAGUCAGCUCUUAGGGAAUCCUCACCAUACUUGCUGCAACCCUUCCUGGAAGUUUCUUCACAGAGGCAUCACCCUGACCCUUGUAAACGUCUCGCUUGCUUCCAUGUCAUACCCCACAGUCCUGGCUAUUCUGAAAACCUCCUAAUCCAGUCUUGGGAACGUUUCGCUCCUCUGAAAAUUCUUCCUCCCUCCCAUCCCCGCAACAAAUGUCCUUUGUCCCGUAAUAAUUAAAAAAAAAAAAAUCCUUGAAGGAUCCAAAUUGAAUAACAAUAAAGAUCUGAUUGGAACCUUCAUAAGGCUGACAAUGUAGAAUUGUAUUUCUUAAAAAAGUGUGUAACCACAUUUGUCUGGGUUGCAAAAGACACCACAGAAUAAGAUCAGAAUAGAAUUUCAACUGACUCCCUAAUUUCCUUAGAAUGGCUUGUAUUUCAAGCUCUUCCUGUUUUUUUCUGAUAGAGAAGGUGUACAUUACUAACUAUAACUGAUAAGAAAGUAUAAAAACAGCCCCUGCCCUAAAAGUACAAUUGAAAUUAGCAUUUAAGUUCACUUUUAUAAAUUAGUCAUUUUAGCCUAAGUUUAAUUACAGCCUAGACUGCUUAUUUACGUUUAAACCGGAUUAUUAUAACUCCUUUUGAUUUAUAAUCACUUCCUAAUUUCCCAUAUUGGGCCAGGACUAGGUCCUCGGAUGAUAAACAAUCAACAGUUACUAAUGAAACAGAAGUCACAUCUAAAUGGAAGGUCAUAUCUGAAGAUGCAGAGAUAAGUAGGUUGGGGCAGAAGACGUUGGGGCUGUUUGCUUGAACUAUACAGCAAGGUGCUUCCUUCAUUUGAAAUGUGACUUGACUUCAAACCUUAAACCUACAAGAAUUUUCAGCCACUGCCAAAUCUGAGAUGAACUGUGUGCUGUGGAGCAUGUCAUUUGUCAUUCGACCUCUUUCAGCUUGCCUUGUGCAGUGAGAGCUUGGGAGUACCAAGGUGGUUCCUGGGUGCUUUGCUCCUUGUGGCUCUUUAGAGCUCUUGACCCCCACUUGGAAAAUGCCUGUAUUCUAUUUAACCCCGACCUUGGCCAACACAUACACCACGCUGACAGCAAAUGCAGGCGUGAAUCCCUUCUUAACACGGAAGAGGUAGGAAUGCUUCUCUGUUGCGUCUGAUCGCAAAAUAACCGACACAUUGAAAGACAAGAGAAAAAAAGUGACUAGUUGAGGUUUUUAUAUAUGUUCAUUGCUUCUAACAUGUUUUUAAGAACAAGAAAAAUGCAACAUCAACUACUCUUAGAGCGAGUGGAGCCACCAUACUGUACAGUUUUGGGGUCAGGCGGCCAGGCACAUUUAUCAUUAAAACCAGGUAACAAUACCCCACAGCAAAAGAAAACCAGCCGGAAGUUAGCCCCCAUGACCUUUUUUUUUUUUUUAUAUAUAUACACAUUUUUUAGAAUACUCUGCCUUUGAACAAUACAAACAAUAACAACAACAACAAAAGACAAACAGGCUUUAUAUUAAAAAUGUCUCUGUUCUUCAUUGUUACUUCUAAAGCAGCUUGGAGGACUUUGCCACUUGGAGUGUACUGCAAAUUGACUCCACUAAAAUGAUCUUGGUAGGGUAGCAGCACAGGAUUUGAUAUUCUAUACUCAUCAUUUUUGACAAUGUAAACCUUUCAUAAAAUAGUAUUUCGCUUAAAAAUGAGAAUCAUUCAAAGGUCUGAUCAUUCUGUUCCCUGAGGCCUGCCAGGGAGGUCUGGCUUCAUACCAUGGGGUUCCUGCUUCUUGGGGUGGGGCACAGGCGCCCCCACAUUUCAGGAAGAAUAUGAAGGAGAGCCACGAAAGGGCCCCGUGGAAAGACGGCAGGAGUGCUCUAGAUGGGUUUCUGUCAAAACAGACCACACAGAGCAACCCUCUGAAGGUCAAACCAUCAUGGCCAGAAUUUAAUCCCCUGGUCAUUUCCCGUCUGGAUUUUCAACGGAAUGAAUCUCAUGGGUUUAACCAAACAUGUAUGUCAGCCUAAAUAAUGCGUUAGAUUCUGAUUUGCCCAGGGACUGGUAAACCUUCACGGAACAAGGUCAAAGGGACAACAGCUACAUCCUUCACAAUAAACAAUUCUGUUGACGUGGAAAUGCACAUAACUCGGUUGAAGCAAAGCUCCACAGUGGCCAGUAUGCUCCAGGGUUUUCAGGUAGCCGAGACCCGGGGCUUAUCUCACCUUCUCAGAAAUGCUUUUAAAGAAUUGAGACAAAAAUCCCAAAUAGAAAAAUGAAAAUUUUUGCUAACGAAUAGUGUAGAGGCCAUUAACUAAAUACAAUUUUUAAAAAAUGCUGAGAUGCAUGUAUCUUUUCUUAAAGCAGCUUUCAAAAUAUCAACCACAGCAUUAAACAUUGAACAUAGUACAUUCCAAAGUUAAUACAGAUAAAUGGUAUAUAAUGCAAUAAUGCCACAGUUAUUCCAUGAAUGUCUCAAAGCUGAUUCUAAGCUUGAAAACAAUAUUUUCUAGUUUAUUCGCUGGCGAUUUCACUUCUUUACUACUUCUCUAGAGUUUCCACCACUGAUUUUUUUUUGUGUGUGUUUUUUCUUUUUUAAUGCCCCAGGAUGUACAGAGAAUUCCCACAUUCCACACCUGGAACUCCCCCCCCACCCCCUGUCAGGUUUUCCAAAAAACAAAACCAAAAAAACCCCAACCUACAAUGACAAAGUAAUGUUUUGCAUCGUUAAUUCCGUAGACAUAGGUCAGUUAAUCCACGACACCUCAUUUCAACGCUUCCUUUAGGAUUUAGGACUUUCCCCAAAGUCAUUUAGAGCCUCGCUCUCAGUUGCGCAGCCAGCGCGCACGCGCCGCGGCCACACGGCGCCCACAGGCCGCAGCGUUCCCUCCUGGUGGCCGCGGAGCCACCUCCCUCUGCAGGGAAGGGCGCACAGCCUCUGUUUCCUGCCCUCCACAGUGAUAAACGUCUUAAGAGCCCUGGCUUCCAGGUUCCGCGCUCCACGAGGCAAGGGGCCCGGCCGGAGGGCCCAGGCCUACGACUGUUCCUUCUGGACAGUGGGGUUCUGAGCUCUGUCACCUUCCAGACAUUCCGAGAGCACGCUGCUCUGUUGAAGACCCUGCGAGCAGGCCCGCGAGUGCCCAGGCUCAGUUCCAGGACGAGGCCUCCGAACGGGGCAAGACUGUGGCCUCUUCGGGAAACGCAGGCACUUGUGGCGGCCUGAUGCUUCUGGAUAAGUCACCAAGACGUUCGCCUCCUCGCAUUCUGGAGGACUCUGCUUCAUACACAGACAGAGCCAGUACUUGGGGGGGGGGGGGGGUGGAUCCAAAAUGUAUGAAUAUACACAUCAGGGCUUAAGGUACUGGAUG
Molecule: long non-coding RNA, 4155 nt
Filed under: Canis lupus familiaris (dog)
Lineage: Eukaryota; Metazoa; Chordata; Mammalia; Carnivora; Canidae
Description: lncRNA (ENSCAFG00000057982.1)
Source: RNAcentral